Molecule: ribosomal RNA, 468 nt
Filed under: uncultured bacterium
Lineage: Bacteria
Description: partial 16S ribosomal RNA
Rfam family: Bacterial small subunit ribosomal RNA
Source: RNAcentral
GACGAACGCUGGCGGCGUGCUUAACACAUGCAAGUCGAACGGCAAGGCCCUGCUUUUGUGGGGUGCUCGAGUGGCGAACGGGUGAGUAACACGUGAGUAACCUGCCCUUGACUUUGGGAUAACUUCAGGAAACUGGGGCUAAUACCGUAUAGCAGCUCCUCCUGCAUUGUGGGGGUUGGAAAUUUUCGGCGGUUGGGGAUGGACUGGCGGCUUAUCAGCUUGUUGGUUGGGUAGUGGCUUACCAAGGCUUUGACGGGUAGCCGGCCUGAGAGGGUGACCGGCCACAUUGGGACUGAGAUACGGACCAGACUCCUACGGGAGGCAGCAGUGGGGAAUAUGGCACAGUGGGCGGAAGCCUGAUGAAGCAACGCCGCGUGCGGGAUGACGGCCUUCGGGUUGUAAACCGCUGUAGCCUGUGACGAAGCGUGAGUGACGGUAAUGGGUAAAGAAGCACCGGCUAACUACGUG